AUGAACGCUGGCGGCGUGCCUAAGACAUGCAAGUCGAAUGUCCGCAAGGACAUGGCGAACGGGUGAGUAAUACCUAGGAAUGUCCUUCAAGUUGAGCAUAACCAGCCGAAAGGUUGGAUAAUACUCAAUGUGAUAGCAAUAUUAAAGUCGCAAGACGCUUGAAGCGCAGCCUGGGCACCAUCAGCUAGUUGGUAGGGUAAUGGCCUACCAAGGCUAUGACGGUUAGGGGCCCCGAGAGGGGAGACCCCCACACUGGAACUGCGACACGGUCCAGACUCCUACGGGAGGCAGCAGUUUGGAAUUUUGGACAAUGGGCGAAAGCCUGAUCCAGCGACGCCGCGUGGACGAUGAAGGCCUUCGGGUUGUAAAGUCCUUUUGCUCGGGAACAAUUUUUGAGCGUACCGAGAGAAUAAGAGGUUGCUAACUCUGU
RNAcentral lists this ribosomal RNA (430 nucleotides) under uncultured bacterium. RNAcentral's name for it is "bacterial SSU rRNA". It matches the Rfam family "Bacterial small subunit ribosomal RNA", at positions 29 to 506 of the family's 1533-position model. The record is from RNAcentral.